CCUACGGUGUGCAGCAGUGGGGAAUAUUGCACAAUGGGGAAACCCUGAUGCAGCGACGCCGCGUGAGUGAAGAAGUAUCUCGGUAUGUAAAGCCCUAUCAGCAGGGAAGAAAAUGACGGUACCUGACUAAGAAGCCCCGGCUAACUACGUGCCAGCAGCCGCGGUAAUACGUAGGGGGCAAGCGUUAUCCGGAUUUACUGGGUGUAAAGGGAGCGUAGACGGCGUUACAAGUCCGGGGUGAAAGCCCAUGGCUUAACCAUGGUACUGCUCUGGAAACUGUGGAGCUUGAGUGCGGGAGGGGCAGGCGGAAUGCCUGGUGUAGCGGUGAAAUGCGUAGAGAUUAGGAGGAACACCGACUGCGAAGGCGGCCUGCUGGACCAUAACUGACGUUGAGGCUCGAAAGCGUGGGGAGCAAACAGGAUUAGAUACCCCUGUAGUC
RNAcentral lists this ribosomal RNA (439 nucleotides) under uncultured bacterium. RNAcentral's name for it is "partial 16S ribosomal RNA". It matches the Rfam family "Bacterial small subunit ribosomal RNA", at positions 338 to 795 of the family's 1533-position model. The record is from RNAcentral.